Molecule: non-coding RNA, 106 nt
Organism: Triticum aestivum (bread wheat)
Lineage: Eukaryota; Viridiplantae; Streptophyta; Magnoliopsida; Poales; Poaceae
Source: Rfam
UGUUUGCUAUGAUGGAUCACAAGGACGGUAUCUUAGUAAGCUGGCUCUUGAAAAAGGCCUCCUUGAUUAUACACAUCCUAAACUGGUCAUAUAUUCUGAGCAAACA